GAUCAAGUCUCCCAGCUCUGCCAUGUGCCUUCGCAGCAUGACCCACACAGGGAGGUGACUCAGACACUUGCUGCCCUCAGAGGACUGCUUUGAGGAACCAGGAGGCCCUGCCCGCUGCUGCCCAAGCCGAUUCCCAACCAUCAUGACGGCCAUCCGACUACGAGAAUUCGUAGAGCGUCGGCCAGUGGUUCCACCUAGUAUAUUUAUCACUCACCAAGGAAAGGACAUCAAAGGCUAUUACCCUGGGCAACUGGCAAGACUCCAUUUUGAUAACAGCGUGAAGAGGGCUCCAAGACCCUUCAUAGACUUGGCAAUUCCACCCAAGAGCAAAACUCCGUAUCAGCCUCAAUUAGACCAGCAAACGCUCAUUCGAUACAUUUGUUUUGAAAGACUGUCAAGGCCUAUGAGCACAUGGUAUAAUGAAACAACUUACCAAAGACACUACUCCCUGCCAUUUUAUGAGAUUGGUUUGGAACAUAAAUUAGGCACGAUUUCAACAAACCCUAGACCACUGAAUUCACUACCAGAAGUCUACUGUUGUGUUCCAGAAAUCUACUCUUGUGUUCCAGAAGUCUACUCUUGUGUUCCAGAAGUCUACUGUUGUGACAAGAGAAGUGGUUUUGCAAGAAACACUUUGUAAAACUAAACAUAAGCGUGGUAUUCCAAGAAAACAACUUUGGACAGUUUUUAGGCCACAUAUGUAAUCAUACAGUAGCUGUGUAACCACAACCAGCAAAGGUAGAGCCUCUUGAGCCACAGAUGGUAGCACAGACCUGGGAAGUAGAGUCCUCAAAGAUCAACUGAAGGUACUACAUGUCCCCGUGCACGGCAUCCUCCCUCCACACUAGCAUUACUAUGAACAGAAGAAAAACAACACACAAAGAAUACUGGAAAUAUUUGGCUCUUUUUAAUCAACUAUUGAUGGUUAUAAUAAAAUAAUUUCAAGUGACACCUAAUUUAAAGUUAAUAGUUUAUGGAAGGAUAAUCUACAGCACAAAGUGAAGCCUAAGGGUUAAAUAAUACGUCUUUAUUUUCAAGGGAGGAGAGAUGAAGGCAUGAUCAAAAUUAUGGCUGACAAUUGGCAACUAGGGUUCAUGUGGGUACUUACGGGUCAUUUUAUAGAUAUACCGGCAGGCACAAUGUUGAAAACCAACCCACUGUUCUUAGAAAUAACAGUAUACUUAAAAAAUAAAAA
This is an RNA transcript of Mesocricetus auratus (golden hamster), 1195 nucleotides long. It is a transcript of the gene named chromosome unknown C1orf100 homolog, with no coding region annotated. The record is from RefSeq and is a predicted model, not a curated record. Lineage: Eukaryota; Metazoa; Chordata; Mammalia; Rodentia; Cricetidae. The transcript has 7 exons.